Vespa mandarinia (Asian giant hornet) is the source of this 1587-nucleotide long non-coding RNA. The record is from RefSeq and is a predicted model, not a curated record. NCBI's taxonomy places the organism in Eukaryota, Metazoa, Arthropoda, Insecta, Hymenoptera, Vespidae.
GAGGAGGAGGUAUAGGUGGAUGAGGAUGAGGAGGAGGUGGAGGAGGAGGAAAAGGAAACGUUGGAACAUUGCGGUUAUCUACGUGUGUUAGUGCACACAGUUAAACAACGUGGAGUCUUGAGGUAGGGCAGUGGAAAUUUCCACUGUGCUCGCUCUCCGAGACGACGGUCAAUACUCUCUCCCUCUCUCUCUUUUUCUCUCUCUCUCUCUCUCUCUCUCUCUUUCUCUCUCUCUCUCUCUCUCGUCGAAUUGCUUACGAGUUUACGUUGCCGCGGUUACUACAGGCCGUUUCAAAUCCAAUUGUAAAUAGUUUCUUGGAUUAGACAGGUGCAGAUUAAUAAUACAUUUUUCACAUUUACCAGGUCACAUUCUUCAUUGGCACCUUACGAUAACAAUUGUUUGACAAUGUUGAACCUUUGACGUUGGAUUUUUGUAAACGACAAAAAAAAAAGAGAGAGAGAGAGAGAGAGAGAGAGAGAGAAAGGAAAUGAUAGUAAGAUAAAAGAAACUUCUUCUUUCGAGAACCAAGUGAAAGUCUGUCUUAUAACUUAAUCGUCAUAUUAAUUGAACUACUUCGAACGACGAAAGUAAUCAGACAAAUUCUCUCUCGCUUUCAUGGCUGAACGUGGUAAAAGUGUAUAAGGUGAAUAAGAGGGAAGAAUGAAGAAGUAAUCAGGAUAAUUAGAAAUAUAUUGAUUUUGAAAUGGAUAAUUUUCCUUUUGAAAAGGUUUUCCUUUUCUUUUUCGAGAAAACGAAAAGAGUUUUUUUUUUAUCUCUUCUUUUCUUCCUCCUUUUUCUCUUUCUUUUUUUUUUUUUUUUUUUUCUUUUCUCUCCCCUCCCUUCCUCCCCUACCAUCUUCACUCGUCGCUCUGCCAAAAGUUAUCCACCAAUCGGGCACGAAGAAUAAGAAUUUAAGCGAGAGCUGACUUUCCAGGUGAAAAGGAAAGAAAAAAAAAGAGGGGAAAGAGAAUAAAAAAGAUUGCUUGCUGUGCGUCCUUUCGUACGUUUCUCACAGCUACCUGCCAUCUCGGUAUAUCAAUGUAUAUGACUGUUUGUGUGUGUGUGUUUAUGUGUGUGUGUGUGUGUGUGUGUGCUAAGUAUAAUCGUCCUCCUCUACCAUAGAAUCGUCAGAGACUCGACCUCAGCACCGUCUCGACGCGACUACAGGAAUCGAGGGCAGGACUCUCGAGAUCGGGUCGCCAAGGGAGAUUCGUUCCUGGCGACAAAGAAACGGCAGCUAGCCAGCGGUCACGUGACAACGAUUUGAAUGCAGCGAGAAUCUUUAAAUAGCCCCUCCGUCUAUCCGCAAAUGUUCUUCGUGCUGCUCUCUUCGUUCGUUCGUUCGUUCGUUCGUUCGUUCGUUCUUACGUUCGUUCGGUACUUACGUACUCGUUCGUUCGUUCGUUCGUUCGUUCGUUCGUUCGUUCGGAGUUAUCGCUAAGAGAGUGUCCUGCUGCUCGCUGGAAUGCGCAAAGAAUCUCGGCCGAACGUAAUCCCGAUAUCUCUCAUUUGUCAUCGACAAUUAUUAUUACAUGUGGAACAUUCGAAAUCAAUUUCAGAAUUAACUCUAAUAUUUGAAUUUUUAUU